RNAcentral lists this long non-coding RNA (945 nucleotides) under Phasianus colchicus (ring-necked pheasant). RNAcentral's name for it is "lncRNA (ENSPCLG00000016912.1)". Lineage: Eukaryota; Metazoa; Chordata; Aves; Galliformes; Phasianidae. The record is from RNAcentral.
AGUUUUCGGUUCUGGUUCUGGUUCCCGGUUCUGCUCCAGAUUUUCAGUCCAGAUUUUCUGUCCGGAUUUUCAGUCCAGGUUCUGCUCCAGAUUUUCAGAUCCAACUUUCAGUCCAGGUUCUGUUCUGUAUUUUCAGAUCCAAUUUUCAGGCCCAAUUUUCAGUCCAGGUUCUGCUCCAGAUUUUCAGAUCUGAUUUUCACUCCCAAUUUUCGGCCCAGGUUCUGUUCUGUAUUUUCAGAUCCAAUUUUCAGGCCCAAUUUUCAGUCCAGGUUCUGCUCUGUAUUUUCAGAUCCAAAUUUCAGUUCUGGUUCUGUUCCAUAUUUUCACUCCCAAUUUUCAGUCCAGGUUCUGCUCUGUAUUUUCAGAUCCAAAUUUCAGUUCUGGUUCUGCUCCAUAUUUUCACUCCCAAUUUUCAGUCCAGGUUCUGCUCCAGAUUUUCAGAUCCAAUUUUCAGUCCCAAUUUUCGGCCCAGGUUCUGCUCCAGAUUUUCAGAUCCAAUUUUCAGUCCCAAUUUUCGGCCCAGGUUCUGUUCUGUAUUUUCAGCCCCAACUUUCAGUCCAGGUUCUGCUCCAUAUUUUCAGAUCCAAUUUUCAGCCCCAAUUUUCAGUCCAGGUUCUGCUCCGUAUUUUCAGAUCCAAUUUUCACUCCCAAUUUUUAGUCCCCAUUUUCAGCCCUGAUUUUGGGUCCUGGUUCUGCUUCAUAUUUUCAGAUCCAAUUUUCAGUCCCCAUUUUGGGUCCCAGUUCUGUUCCAGACUUCCAGUCCCAGGUUUCAAUCCCAAUUCUGCUCCACAUUUUCAGUCCCGAUUUUCAGUCCCAGUGUUCAGCCCCAAUGUUCAGAUCCCAUUUUCAGCCCUGAUUUUGGGUCCCAGUCCUGCUCUGGAUUUUCAGUCCCAAUUUUCAACCCCAAUUCUGCUCCGUAUUUUCAGUCCUGAUUUUCAGCCCUGA